This 253-nucleotide ribosomal RNA is filed under the name uncultured bacterium. RNAcentral describes it as "partial 16S ribosomal RNA". It matches the Rfam family "Bacterial small subunit ribosomal RNA", at positions 524 to 776 of the family's 1533-position model. The record is from RNAcentral.
UACGUAGGGUGCGAGCGUUGUCCGGAAUUAUUGGGCGUAAAGGGCUCGUAGGCGGUCUGUUGCGUCGGGAGUGAAAACUCAGGGCUUAACCCUGAGCCUGCUUCCGAUACGGGCAGACUAGAGGUAUGCAGGGGAGAACGGAAUUCCUGGUGUAGCGGUGAAAUGCGCAGAUAUCGGGAGGAACACCGGUGGCGAAGGCGGUUCUCUGGGCAUUACCUGACGCUGAGGAGCGAAAGUGUGGGGAGCGAACAGG